Molecule: transfer RNA, 73 nt
Filed under: Gemmata sp.
Lineage: Bacteria; Pseudomonadati; Planctomycetota; Planctomycetia; Gemmatales; Gemmataceae
Also listed under: 4 other names
Description: tRNA-Glu
Rfam family: tRNA
About the family: Transfer RNA (tRNA) molecules are approximately 80 nucleotides in length. Their secondary structure includes four short double-helical elements and three loops (D, anti-codon, and T loops). Further hydrogen bonds mediate the characteristic L-shaped molecular structure. tRNAs have two regions of fundamental functional importance: the anti-codon, which is responsible for specific mRNA codon recognition, and the 3' end, to which the tRNAs corresponding amino acid is attached (by aminoacyl-tRNA synthetases). tRNAs cope with the degeneracy of the genetic code in two manners: having more than one tRNA (with a specific anti-codon) for a particular amino acid; and 'wobble' base-pairing, i.e. permitting non-standard base-pairing at the 3rd anti-codon position.
Source: RNAcentral
GACCCUGUCGUCUAGAGGCCUAGGACAUGGCCCUUUCAAGGCCAAAACCGGGGUUCGAAUCCCCGCAGGGUCA